RNAcentral lists this ribosomal RNA (406 nucleotides) under uncultured bacterium. RNAcentral's name for it is "partial 16S ribosomal RNA". It matches the Rfam family "Bacterial small subunit ribosomal RNA", at positions 30 to 526 of the family's 1533-position model. The record is from RNAcentral.
AUUGAACGCUGGCGGCAGGCCUAACACAUGCAAGUCGAACGAGUGGCGGACGGGUGAGUAAUGUCUGGGAAACUGCCUGAUGGAGGGGGCUAACUACUGGAAACGGUAGCUAAUACUGCAUACCAUCAGAUCUGCCCUGAUGGGAUUAGCUUGUUGGUGGGGUAACGGCUCACCAAGGCGACGAUCCCUAGCUGGUCUGAGAGGAUGACCAGCCACAGUGGAACUGAGAGACGGUCCAGAAUCCUACGUGAGGCAGCAGUGGGGAAUAUUGGACAAUGGGCGCAAGCCUGAUGCAGCAAUGCGGCGUGAAUGAAGAAGGCCUUCGGGUUGUAAAGGACUUUAAGCGGGGAGGCGUUACCCACAGAAGAAGCACCGGCUAACUCCGUGCCAGCAGCCGCGGUAAUAC